GACAAACGCUGGCGGCAUGCCUAACACAUGCAAGUCGAACGGACAGACCAGGGUAGCUUUUCGGGGUGGAACUGGAAAGUUAGUGGCGGGUGGGUGAGUAACGCGUCGACAACCUACCUUGUAAAGGGGAAUAACCUCGAGAAAUCGCAGCUAAUUUCCCCUAAUACCCUUGCUCCGCGUGAGUUCAAGUGGAUAGUUGGCCUUAGCCCUUUCUAUACUAUCAGGGUCCGCGUCUGUUGAGCUAGUUGGUGAGUUAAAGGCUCACCAAGGCGACAAUCAGUAGUUGACCUGGGAGGGUGAUACGCUACAUUGGUACUGAGACACGGCCCAUACUCCUACGGGACGCAGCAGCGGGGAAUCUUCCGCAAUGGGAGAAAGCCUGACGGAGCAAUGCCGUGUGAGUGAUGAAGGCUUUCGGGUUGUAAAACUCUCUCUUUACCGAAGAGAAAGUGUUGUAGUACCUGACAAUACUAGGACGGUAGAUGAGGAGGAAGCCCCGGCUAACUAUGUG
Molecule: ribosomal RNA, 511 nt
Filed under: uncultured bacterium
Lineage: Bacteria
Description: partial 16S ribosomal RNA
Rfam family: Bacterial small subunit ribosomal RNA
Source: RNAcentral